This is a long non-coding RNA of Dendroctonus ponderosae (mountain pine beetle), 440 nucleotides long. RefSeq lists it as uncharacterized. The transcript has 3 exons. The record is from RefSeq and is a predicted model, not a curated record. NCBI's taxonomy places the organism in Eukaryota, Metazoa, Arthropoda, Insecta, Coleoptera, Curculionidae.
CGGCUUUGUACUUCUACAUCAAGCUCAUCCGAAGUGUUUCGCUAGCGAACCGCUUCAGAUAUAGAAAUUAGAGUUUCAGUAUUCAAUUUAAUAAGUAUCAGCUUACUGAUAGUGUGGAUUUGGUUCCGAUUGAACCAGGGAUUCCUUCACAAUAAUUUUUUUAAAGAAGUUUAGAUACAUUUUUAAUUAGAAGCCUCAGGAGCAGUAAAUGUGGAUUUCUGAAAAACAACCUGACGGGACAAGCAGUACAUGCCUAAAAAUCCGAGCAAGAAAUCUGCUCCAUUGUUGUCCGCAGCUUCMUAGCGAUUUUCCCAGCAACAGUGCUCAACUUGCAAGAGUAACUAAGUAUGUACGAUGUAUGUAUGUAAGAAUGUACGAAACAUCAGCUCAGCUCAGAAGAUCAAGCUUAGUAYGGUAUUGCAAAUGCUGCCAACUAGAUA